Molecule: long non-coding RNA, 3238 nt
Organism: Hevea brasiliensis (rubber tree)
Lineage: Eukaryota; Viridiplantae; Streptophyta; Magnoliopsida; Malpighiales; Euphorbiaceae
Exons: 2
Source: RefSeq, a predicted model, not a curated record
CAAAUAUAUAUUAAGUCUCUGGAAAACAAAAUAGUAAAGCCAGCUGCCCAAGCAGGUUGUAGAAGGACUAAAAAUGUUCUAUCCUAGAGUAAGACCUAGAGGUUUCGUCCUCAUGAAAUUCAUAACAGUUCCGCCUUACUGCAAUAAUGAAGUGGAGUAUACUGGACCGUUCAUGGUAAAGAUUAUGACUGUAAAGUAUGGAGACAAGGUUGAUGAUAUGCCAGCUAAAAAGUUGACAGUAACAAGUGAAUGGGCAAUGAAAAGACAUAUGCUAGGAUAUAAAGUAUUUGCUAAAAAUCUUAGAGAAUUAAUAAGAGCGGACCAAAGUUGGAUUUUUUAUGUUGGUUAUAAGUAUGUGAUCUAUUCGCCCAGUGAAAAAGGCAUUAGUCCAUGCAGUGAUAUCCAGCUCAAAAGGUUAUAUUCCAAGAUUGGCAGCAAUGAAGUCCAAGAUGUUCUGAAAGUGAAGGCUAAUUUGUGCGAAGCAUUAAAAGAAGUGGGUCAUGCUGCUUGUAAUUAUUGUAUAGAGAAAGAAAGCUAUAAGAGUAAUGAUGUAAUCAGUUCGUCAUAAUACAAGGGGAAUAUUGUAACAGAGGAUGGGUUCAACCUCUAUAAAAACCCACUAUCUUAUGUAUUUGGGCAUCGAUGGCUUGCCACUCUCUUCUCUUUGUAAACAUUUUCUCUACCAUGCCUCUAAAUAAAGAAAAGGAUUUUCCUUUAACUAGCGUUGUUCUUUCAGUAGAUCUUAAGAUAUUUUAUUUCUAAGCUUCAUAUUAUCCCAAUAACCCUCCAAGAUUUGUUCUAGUUAGGUCAAUCAGCAGUGAAGCCUCUGGAGUCCUGUUUGAAGGCUUGAUUUGGUGUCGCCGUUGUUCCAGGAUUGAGCCAUUUUCUUUGUCUUUCACUUCGGAGAGUUAAAAGAGAGAAUUUUGUGAGACAAAAUGUUGAUCCAAAAUUGCAGCAGCUUGAUUAUUCUUCAACAACACAUAUGGCUUCCAAAAUGUUUGUGCAUCUAGCCAUACCACGUUUUAAUGGUCACUAUGACCAUUGGAGCAUGCUUAUGGAGAACUUCUUGAGGUCCAAAGAAUAUUAGACAGUUGUUGAUUCUGGGAUAGCAAAACCAGCAGAAGGUACUGUGCUGACAGAUGCUUAAAAGACAGAAUAUGAAGGACUGAAGUUGAAAGAUCUCAAAGCAAAAAAUUAUCUUUUCCAAGCAAUUGAUCGUUCAAUCUUGGAAACCAUUCUUUGCAAAGACACCUCCAAGCAGAUUUGGGAUUCUAUGAAGAAGAAAUAUCAGGGAACAACAAGGGCAAAAAGGGCACAGUUGUAAGCACUUCGUGCUGAUUUUGAGACUUUUAAAAUGAAGAUGGGAGAAUUAGUUUCAGAUUACUUCUCAAGGACAAUGGCAAUAGCAAAUAAGAUGCAGAUUCAUGGCGAAAAGCUGCAAGAUGUCACUAUUAUUGAGAAGAUUCUUCGCUUAAUGACAUCGAAAUUCAACUAUGUUGUUUCUUCGAUUGAGGAAUCAAAAGAUACUAAUGAACUUUCAAUUGAUGAAUUGCAGAGUUCAUUGUUGAUUCAUGAGUAGAAAAAUGAAUCGACAACAAAGCAAUGAGGAGCAAGCUCUUCAAGCUGCUUUUAGCAAUCACUCUUCGGCAUCAAAAGGAGGUGGUAGAGGAAGAGGAAAGGGCAGAGGCAACAAUAAUGGUGGUGGGAGGCAUUCACACUAGAAAUUUGAAUAUAAUUCUCCCAAUUCUCAAUGAGGGGGAAGAAGUCAUGACAACAACCUUUCAACUCAUUCCAAGCCAACGUCGGCAAACAAAUCAAAAGUUGAAUGCUAUAGAUGCUAUAGGUAUGGCCAUUAUAAAUCAAAAUGUCGAACUAAUUUAAAUAGAGAUGGUGGAAGACAUCUAAUUUUGCAGAGAAGGAAGAAGAAAUCUCCUUGUUAUUGGCCUACCAAGUGAAGGAGGAAACUCAUCGAAAUUUGUCAUAUUUAGAUACUGGAUGCAACAAUCAUAUGUGUGGAAACAAGUCAGCUUUCUCCACUCUAGAUGAGUUGUAUCAAGAUUCUAUAAAGUUCGGGGAUAACUCUAAAGUUUCAGUCAUGGGAAAAGGGCAGGUAAUCAUUCAAACUAAAAGGGAUGCUGCUCAAACCAUUUCUAAUGUCCUUUAUGUUCUAGAUUUGAAGACCAAUCUUUUAAUUCUUGGUCAAUUGCAAGAGAAGAGGUUUGAGAUUGUCAUUAAAAAUAGAGUAUGUCGUAUGCAAGAUGAUAAUUUGGGCUUAAUUGCUCAAGUUAAAAUGACCUCAAACAGAAUGUUUUCUCUCUAUCUCAAUAAUAUACAACAAUCAUGCUUCUCAAUAAAACAAGGAGAUGAAUCUUAACCAUGGCAUUUUCAUUAUGGGCAUCUUAAUUUUGGUGGAUUAAAGACCCUACGACAAAAAGAAUAUGAUGAUUGGUCUUCCUCAAAUUUCACCUCCCUCUCAAAUUUGUGAAGAGUGUGUUGUUAGCAAACAGCACCGCAACUCAUUUCCACAAGGGAAAUCAUGGAGAACAAAGAAGGCACUGGAACUUGUCCAUUUCGAUAUUUAUGGACCGAUAACACCAUCUUCUAAUGGAGGUAAAAGUUAUAUAAUUACCAUCAUUGAUGAUUUUACUCAAAAAAGCUGGGUCUAUUUUUUGCAGGAGAAAUCUAAAGCAUUUGAAGGUUUUAAAAGUUUUAAAGUACUUGUUGAGAAAGAGGUUGGCAAUCCAAUAAAAGCUCUCCAUUCAGAUCAUGGGGGAGAAUAUAACUCACAUGAAUUUGCAAGUUUUUGUGAGCUUCAUGGAAUAAAGAGGCAACUUAUAGCAGCUUAUUCACCCCAGCAAAAUGGAGUAUGCGAGAGGAAAAACGCAUUAUUAUGAAUAUGGUGCAAAGUCUUUUAACAAGCAGUGGCAUUCCAAAAAGCUUUUAGCCUGAAGCAGUCAAUUGGAGUAUUCACAUUCUAAACAGAAGUCCCACAUUUGCAAUUCAAAACAUGACUUCGAAGGAAGUAUGGAGCGGAUAACCACUGGCCAUAGAUCAUUUCAGAAUCUUUGAGUGCAUUGCAUAUGCCCAUGUUCCAAAUCACAAGAGAAAAAAGCUAGAUGAGAAGGGAGAGAAGUGUAUUUUUCUUGGUGUUAGUGAUCAAUCAAAAGCUUACAAUCUUUAUAAUCCUAGCACUAAGAAAAUUCUGAUAAGUGGAGAUGUUAUUUUUUAUGAGAAUCAA